Hipposideros armiger (great roundleaf bat) is the source of this 895-nucleotide RNA transcript. It is a transcript of the gene named calmodulin pseudogene, with no coding region annotated. The transcript has a single exon. NCBI's taxonomy places the organism in Eukaryota, Metazoa, Chordata, Mammalia, Chiroptera, Hipposideridae. The record is from RefSeq and is a predicted model, not a curated record.
CCGAAUGGAACGAGAGAGCUGAGUGGUUGUGUGGUCACGUCUCAGAGACCGGUAGCACUUGCAGCAUGGCUGACCAACUGACUGAAGAGCAGAUUGCAGAAUUCAAAGAAGCUUUUUCACUAUUUGACAAGGAUGGUGAUGGAACUAUAACAACAAAGGAAUUGGGAACUGUAAUGAGGUCUCUUGGGCAGAAUCCCACAGAAGCAGAGUUACAGGACAUGAUAAAUGAAGUGGAUGUUGAUGGUAAUGGCAAAAUUGACUUCCCGGAAUUUCUGACAAUGAUGGCAAGAAAAAUGAAAGACACAGACAGUGAAGAAGAAAUUAGAGAAGCAUUCCAUCUGUUUGAUAAGGAUGGCAAUGGCUAUAUUAGUGCAGCAGAGCUUUGCCAUGUGAUGACAAACCUUGGAGAGAAGUUAACAGAUGAAGAGGUUGAUGAAAUGAUCAGGGAAGCAGAUAUUGAUGGUGAUGGGCAAGUAAACUAUGAAGAGUUUGUACAAAUGAUGACAGCAAAGUGAAGACAUUGUACAGAAUGUAUUAAAUUUCUUGUACAAAAUUAUUUAUUUGCCUUUUCUUUGUUUGUAACUUAUCUGUAAAAGGUUUCCCCCUACUGUCAAAAAAUAUGCAUGUAUAGUAAUUAGGACUUCAUUCCUCCAUGUUUUCUUCCCUUAUCUUACUGUCAUUGUCCUGAAACCUUAUUUUAGAAAAUUGAUCAAGUAACAUGUUGCAUGUGGCUUACUCUGGAUAUAUCUAAGCCCUUCUGCACAUCUAAACUUAGAUGGAGUUGGUCAAAUGAGGGAACAUCUGGGUUAUGCCUUUUUUUAAGUAGUUUUCUUUAGGAAUUGUCAGCAUGUUGUUGUUGAAGUGUGGAGUUGUAACUCUGCGUGGACUAUGGACA